This 478-nucleotide ribosomal RNA is filed under the name uncultured bacterium. RNAcentral describes it as "partial 16S ribosomal RNA". It matches the Rfam family "Bacterial small subunit ribosomal RNA", at positions 28 to 523 of the family's 1533-position model. The record is from RNAcentral.
GACGAACGCUGGCGGCGUGCUUAACACAUGCAAGUCGAACGGUAAGGCCCUUCGGGGUACACGAGUGGCGAACGGGUGAGUAACACGUGGGUGAUCCGCCCUGCACUUCGGGAUAAGCCUGGGAAACUGGGUCUAAUACCGGAUAGGACCACUGCCUGCAUGGGUGGUGGUGGAAAGCUUUUGCGGUGUGGGAUGGGCCCGCGGCCUAUCGGCUUGUUGGUGGGGUGAUGGCCUACCAAGGCGACGACGGGUAGCCGGCCUGAGAGGGUGACCGGCCACACUGGGACUGAGAUACGGCCCAGACUCCUACGGGAGGCAGCAGUGGGGAAUAUUGCACAAUGGGCGCAAGCCUGAUGCAGCGACGCCGCGUGAGGGAUGACGGCCUUCGGGUUGUAAACCUCUUUCAGCACCGACGAAGCGCAAGUGACGGUAGGUGCAGAAGGAGGACCGGCCAACUACGUGCCAGCCGCCGCCGUAA